CCUGUGAUUGCAGCCCGUAGUGAAGUAAAGUUACCGUGAUUUUGAGGCCAUACUAAGGAUCCAUACGGAAACAUUUUCGCUUGUGGUUCAGUAAUUCCAGUGAAACAUCUAUUACCGUCUACACGUAAAUUGGACUCUAAUAAAACUUCAUCAUGAAAACCUUCUACCUUGUAACCAUAUGCGUGAUAUUGGUUCUGCAUAUGAUCAUUACAGAUGCUCAACGCAAUCGCCGUCCUUCCUCAAGGCAAGAAAUCCCUGGAGGGACAGGUGGCAGAGGUUCUGGAGGCCCAAGUGGAAUUCGAUUUCCGACAGAAGAGGAAGAAAGAUCUCGUGAAGGAAAUUCAAGAGGAGGAGGGCUUCAUGCUGGGAAGUGGCCUGGAGGAUUCUAUGGUGGAUCGAAGUGGUAAUACGGCAUAAAAGUAAAAAAUCAUUUCAAAGCAGUCUCGCAUUUCGUGCUCACUAGUACAGCAAACUAAUAAUAUUUCCACCACAGAAGCUUUUCGGGUAAGAUGUAUAUGAACAUUAUUUCUAUUACCGGCACAUCCAGCGGUGGUUAAUUUUACCAGAAACAAAUGAAAUUAAUAAAAUUAUAUCACACGUUUAUGUUACAACUCAUUGUUAAAAAAAAAAAAAAUAGUGAAAUGCUGUUUUCAGACCAAUCAUGUCCAGACAAUUUUCACUUGAAGCAAAAGAAUCAAUAUAAGCCCUUAUAUUUAAGAAAUUAAGGUACUUUCUCAUUAGCAGCAAUUCCACAGAAUUGUCAAAUGCCUUCUUGGUAACCACAGUUUAAUGAUGAAAAUCUUCAAAACAAAAUUUUAUAAAGGUUACAUGAGAUGGCAUUUACUAAUGGCAGAGGACACAUAAAUUUAAUUUAUAUAUAUCUACUAAGUAAGUUUAAAAUAACUACAUCAAGUAAUUUUUAAUAGCAGCCUUUAUUAAAGUCUGUCUCACUUUUGUCCUAGCAAUGACAAUCAAAAUAUCACUUGAAAUUCUCUUUUACUAUCUAUGUGAAAAGUUCCUUCUUCGUAUUCAGUGGACUGUAUAUUAUAUCUACUCAGAAAUGUCUAGUCAAUUGAAAUACAUCAUUUAAUAAAUUAGUAUUUCAUAAGA
Long non-coding RNA from Stegodyphus dumicola, 1110 nucleotides. RefSeq lists it as uncharacterized. Lineage: Eukaryota; Metazoa; Arthropoda; Arachnida; Araneae; Eresidae. The record is from RefSeq and is a predicted model, not a curated record.